UCUCCUCUCCUCCUCAAAUAUCUGCCAGCCCACUCCUUUUUAAGAGAAAAUAAAUCAUUUCCAUUGUGUGCAAAUAAAAUCGACUUGACAUGCUUGCCAAUAGCUGGUAGGUAAAGGAAAGUGUGGACUGGCACUUGUUAAUUAAUUCCUCCUUUGCUCUCCCCCCCUUUUUUUUUUUAAGUUACAAUUUUCCUUUGUAAGACCAGGAAGACGGGUUUCAACCCUCAGGGGUUUUGUUUGUUUGUUUUUGUUUAUUAUUAUUAUUAUAUUAAAGAAGAAUAAAAGCUACAGCCACCCAAACUUCAACAAGACUAUACAAGUAAACACCCAACAGCAAGCCGGCUGCGCGGAUUCAUUAAACGAGGAUCCCUCGCAAGAGUUUUACUGCACUCCAUUUAUCAAUUGGACUUGACAACAAAAGAAAGAACGGGGGGAAAACCUGGGGCAGAUUCAAGUCACUUCCACUCUGUGUGAAGGAAGGGGGAGUUCCUUACGGGCACGGUGCGGGUUGUCAGUCCCGCUGCAGCAGCAGCAGCUUUUGUGCGAUGCUUCUCUCUCUGCCCCCCGAUCCUAUAACUGUCACGGCCUCAGAAGAACACAGCGGGCACAGAGACAUGGAAGCCCGUCUCUGCCUCGCACCGACACGUUCCGGCGACACGCUCCGCGCUUCCAGAGAACACACAGAAAUUAAAAAGUUUGUUAAAAUCCUCUUUCUAGGAGGCGAGGGGGCAGUUCCGCGUAUCGCCUCGUUCUAUCCAACGUGACAGAGGUUCAAUAAAAGCCAACGGAGAUGC
This is a non-coding RNA of Coturnix japonica (Japanese quail), 794 nucleotides long. The record is from RefSeq and is a predicted model, not a curated record. Lineage: Eukaryota; Metazoa; Chordata; Aves; Galliformes; Phasianidae.